UGGGGAAUUUUGGACAAUGGGGGAAACCCUGAUCCAGCCAUCCCGCGUGUGCGAUGAAGGCCUUCGGGUUGUAAAGCACUUUUUGCAGGAAAGAAACGUCAUGGGUUAAUACCCCGUGAAACUGACGGUACCUUCAGAAUAAGCACCGGCUAACUACGUGCCAGCAGCCGCGGUAAUACGUAGGGUGCAAGCGUUAAUCGGAAUUACUGGGCGUAAAGCGUGCGCAGGCGGUUCGGAAAGAAAGAUGUGAAAUCCCAGAGCUCAACUUUGGAACUGCAUUUUUAACUACCGGGCUAGAGUGUGUCAGAGGGAGGUGGAAUUCCGCGUGUAGCAGUGAAAUGCGUAGAUAAGCGGAGGAACACCGAUGGCGAAGGCAGCCUCCUGGGAUAACACUGACGCUCAUGCACGAAAGCGUGGGGAGCAAACAGG
RNAcentral lists this ribosomal RNA (429 nucleotides) under Acidobacteriota bacterium. RNAcentral describes it as "Acidobacteria bacterium partial 16S ribosomal RNA". It matches the Rfam family "Bacterial small subunit ribosomal RNA", at positions 355 to 776 of the family's 1533-position model. The record is from RNAcentral. Lineage: Bacteria; Pseudomonadati; Acidobacteriota.